GACGAAUGCUGGCGGCGUGCUUAACACAUGCAAGUCGAACGGAAAGGCCCUGCUUUUGUGGGGUGCUCGAGUGGCGAACGGGUGAGUAACACGUGAGUAACCUGCCCUUGACUUUGGGAUAACUUCAGGAAGCUGGGGCUAAUACCGGAUAGGAGCUCCUGCUGCAUGGUGGGGGUUGGAAAGUUUCGGCGGUUGGGGAUGGACUCGCGGCUUAUCAGCUUGUUGGUGGGGUAGUGGCUUACCAAGGCUUUGACGGGUAGCCGGCCUGAGAGGGUGACCGGCCACAUAGGGACUGAGAUACGGCCCAGACUCCUACGGGAGGCAGCAGUGGGGAAUAUUGCACAAUGGGCGGAAGCCUGAUGCAGCAACGCCGCGUGCGGGAUGACGGCCUUCGGGUUGUAAACCGCUUUCGCCUGUGACGAAGCGUGAGUGACGGUAAUGGGUAAAGAAGCACCGGCUAACUACGUG
RNAcentral lists this ribosomal RNA (468 nucleotides) under uncultured bacterium. RNAcentral describes it as "partial 16S ribosomal RNA". It matches the Rfam family "Bacterial small subunit ribosomal RNA", at positions 28 to 507 of the family's 1533-position model. The record is from RNAcentral.